Molecule: long non-coding RNA, 529 nt
Organism: Drosophila biarmipes
Lineage: Eukaryota; Metazoa; Arthropoda; Insecta; Diptera; Drosophilidae
Exons: 2
Source: RefSeq, a predicted model, not a curated record
UUAAAACUUUGAAUCGAGACAUUUACUCAGCGGGCAUGUCAGUACUCAACGAUCAGUUGUAAUUUCUAUCUGGAGCUCUCAGGUCAGCCGCACAGGACUGAAAAUCUUUUUAGAAAAUUUCACCAUCCAAAAUUUUGAGUUUCCCCUUAAAAUUUUUUAUUCCCUUUUCAGUUAAAUUUAGUAGUCAAAAUUAUGUGCGGCGGCUUUGGGUGCGGUCCUUAUGGCUACGGACCCUCGGGCCCUUGUGGACCCUGGUGCGGACCUUGGUGUGGCCCUUGCGCCUUGUCUCUGGGACCCUGUAGCUACUCUUGUUGUGGUGGACCCAAAGGCUGUGGGCCGAGUGGACCCGCCUGUUGGCCAUAUGGCCUGUACACCUGCUAGGCUUCAGACGGACUUCAGAAACUUCUGGACAACUCCCCCAUGAAACCUUCAGGACAGGCGGGUGCUCUCCAUGUGGGGAAACUGUGCACGUUGAAAUAGAGGAUACAGCAGUUCAAUAAAAAAGGCGAUGGUGAUCGAUUAAAACCAA